Long non-coding RNA from Sander lucioperca (pikeperch), 306 nucleotides. RefSeq lists it as uncharacterized. Lineage: Eukaryota; Metazoa; Chordata; Actinopteri; Perciformes; Percidae. The record is from RefSeq and is a predicted model, not a curated record. The transcript has 3 exons.
GUUUCCUGCUGUCAUAUGUCUCUGUUCAGCACUGGUUACAGUACACAGAGUCCUCUCAUGGUAAGGACAACUCAAAUAACGUUUGACAGUGAAAGAAAUGGACACGGCGACGUCAAAGACUUCGACGGGAGACCAAUGAAGUCAAUUAGAAGCACUUUUCCUGUGAGGGCUGAGCGUUACUGCGCAGCCUCAAACUGAGCUUGACGAAGUAGAUGUGACGUGAGCAACCUGUCUGAAAGUUGUAAGUCUUCUGGUAGCUGUGCCAAGAAAAAUCUGAAUCAUUCUGAAUCUUACAGAGAGGCAGAG